This 498-nucleotide ribosomal RNA is filed under the name Streptococcus sinensis. Its description in RNAcentral is "bacterial SSU rRNA". It matches the Rfam family "Bacterial small subunit ribosomal RNA", at positions 371 to 860 of the family's 1533-position model. The record is from RNAcentral. Lineage: Bacteria; Bacillati; Bacillota; Bacilli; Lactobacillales; Streptococcaceae.
AUGGGGGGAACCCUGACCGAGCAACGCCGCGUGAGUGAAGAAGGUUUUCGGAUCGUAAAGCUCUGUUGUAAGAGAAGAACGAGUGUGAGAGUGGAAAGUUCACACUGUGACGGUAACUUACCAGAAAGGGACGGCUAACUACGUGCCAGCAGCCGCGGUAAUACGUAGGUCCCGAGCGUUGUCCGGAUUUAUUGGGCGUAAAGCGAGCGCAGGCGGUUAGAUAAGUCUGAAGUUAAAGGCUGUGGCUUAACCAUAGUACGCUUUGGAAAUCGUUUAACUUGAGUGCAGAAGGGGAGAGUGGAAUUCCAUGUGUAGCGGUGAAAUGCGUAGAUAUAUGGAGGAACACCGGUGGCGAAAGCGGCUCUCUGGUCUGUAACUGACGCUGAGGCUCGAAAGCGUGGGGAGCAAACAGGAUUAGAUACCCUGGUAGUCCACGCCGUAAACGAUGAGUGCUAGGUGUUGGGUCCUUUCCGGGGUUUAGUGCCGCAGCUAACGCAU